GCUGGUCCAGCUUUGGGAAGCCCCAGGAUUCAGGUUUUGGGCAGCUCCAGGUUUUCCUAAACCUAAUCCAGGUUUUGAGCAGCCCCAGGUUUCUCUAAACCUAACCCAGGUUUCUCUAAACCUAACCCAGGGUUUGGGCAGCCCCAGCCCCAGAUUUCUCUAAACCUAACCCAGGUUUCUCUAAGCCUAACCCAGGGUUUGGGCAGUCCCAGUCCCAGGUUUCUCUAAGCCUAACCCAGGUUUUGGGCAGUCCCAGUCCCAGGCUGAGUCAGGCUCAGGCUGAGCCCUCUGAGUCACUGCAGGGUCCUUGCUGGUGGUGGAGCCUCGGGGAAAUGGAUGGUUUAAAUACUGUGAGAAUCUUUAUCAGCACAGGAAAUGACAGCUCAUUAAAAUACUAACCGUUGAGCCAGUUUAGAUCACUGUCUGGAAAAAAAUUAACCAUUGAAGGCUCAGAGGGCUCACAGGAAGAAAGGUGCCCUGUUGAGACAAGGGACAUGUUAUGCAAAUGAAUCAGCUUUGCUAAUUGGCCGGUGGCAGAAAAAUAUUUCCAUUGGAAUUUAUUUUUCAGUGGUUUUUAAAAUACCUGAAUUCCAAAGAAGUCGAUAUCACCGUGUUGGAGUGAAACUUCUGAGGGAGGGGUGGCUAAAAUACCCUAAAAUACCCUAAAUAUUAAAAUACCCUAAAUAUUAAAAUACCCUAAAUACUAAUAUACUA
Non-coding RNA from Sturnus vulgaris (Common starling), 714 nucleotides. Lineage: Eukaryota; Metazoa; Chordata; Aves; Passeriformes; Sturnidae. The record is from RefSeq and is a predicted model, not a curated record.